Molecule: long non-coding RNA, 893 nt
Organism: Sinocyclocheilus anshuiensis
Lineage: Eukaryota; Metazoa; Chordata; Actinopteri; Cypriniformes; Cyprinidae
Source: Ensembl
ACGAGGUUUUGGAACACAAUUAAGCAGUAGUCAGGUUAAAGCAGGGUAAUUCCAGCAUUAUUUCCUACCGAUGAAUAAUUAACACAAUGUUUUAUUUGCCUGCCAAUGCUGGGCGUCGGAAAUGCUUGUUAAUUGUGUUUCCUCUGACUCGACUCUCAACAACUCUUUCGGUUUUAAUUAAUAGGAAAUUAAUUUUGCAGUGCUCUGUUUUGACAUGGUUAAUUUACAUGGGCUCGGGACCAAAACAUCAAAGAAGCACCUUCGCAAGUGCACAGCAACACCUACAACUUCAUAGUGAUACCCUUUCUUCAUUGACAGAGCUGUCAUUGUGAGUUCAGAGCGAGAUGUUCCGAAUCUGGCCUUUUUUCUUGUUCCUCUGAAGUUCUUUCAUCUGUACUGGGUUACACAAACAUGCGAGUUUAUGUGAGUCUGUGACGGUGAAAUAAGCAAGUGCUUUAGGAGCUUUAUCUUCUAGUGCAACUUGACUCAAACGGCAGAAAUAAAACACAUCAACACAAUACUUUCAGUGUUGUCUCUGUAGCAUGAAUUAGUUUUUCUUAAUGAUUUCCUUGCAUACUGUUUUGUAUAUAUUUUGUCUUAACUAAUAUUUGCACUAGGUAGCUCCGCCCCCAGUGGAAUCUCAUUGGUCCAAAAUCCUAUGCCAAAAAGCUGGAUAUUUAACCAUCUAAAACCUGACAUAUAAAAUAAAUGUCAGCAAAAUCUGUUUUUAAUGUAUUGAGCCAUUAAAUCAAAUCUUAAAGUUUGAUUUUUAUUUAGCAUCAUAUUUGAUACGUCAAGCUUUUAUGGCUAAUAUAUAUUGAGAAUAUAAUAUAUAUUCAGAGGCCCCCAAAAAAGCACAAAUAUGCAAUUUGGUGCAAUUGCUGAUAUUUACA